AUGCCAAAGAGGAAAGGAGGACUGGGGUUUAGAGACCUUCACAGUUUUAAUCUUGCUUUAUUAGCAAAACAGUGUUGGCGUCUGAUCCAGAAUCCAGAAUCUUUGUGUGCUCGAGUUCGCAGUGCUAAAUACUAUCCAGAUGGAAACAUAUUGAAUGCAGGGCCGAAGAAGGGAUCCUCCUUUACGUGGCAGAGUAUCGUUGCUGGGAUUCAAACGUUCACACGAGGAUGUAUUUGAAGAGUGGGUACGGGAUCACAUAUAAACAUUUGGCAAGAUCCUUGGGUUCCAACAAGUGAGUCCCGGAAAAUCAUAACACCGCGGGGAUCCACUAUGUUGACAACAGUGGAAGAGUUAAUUGAUCCACAUACAGGUCAGUGGGAUGAGGUGUUGGUUCGCGAUGUCUUUUGGCCGGUCGAUGUGUACAGAAUCCUACAAAUCCCACUAAGAGUGCAUAUCAUGGAUGACUUUGUUUCAUGGCAUUAUAACCGGAAUGGAAACUUCACAGUUAGAUCGGCUUAUCACACAGAAUUUAAACAUCAAUUUGGGCAUCAGAUGGAUCUGUCUUAUCCACAACGGAGCCGAGAACAGGAUAUAUGAAAGCAUGUUUGGGCUCUUCGAGUACCUGGGAAGAUCAAGCACUUUGUGUGGAAAGUUAUCCGAGGAGUGCUACCAUGUUUUGGAACCCUUGCAGGGCGUCAUAUACCAGUAUCCGGGCAGUGUCCGGUCUGCCGGAUUGGUUAUGAAGACACGCAACAUUGUUUAUUCCAAUGUCCUUGAGCCUUGGAGAUCUGGGAGAAACUCGGCUUAAAACUGAGAUUCAAAACGCAGCUCUACAGGACAGUCGGGUUCAUUCACGAUGAGCACUCUAAUGUAUAA
RNAcentral lists this ribosomal RNA (876 nucleotides) under Triticum aestivum (bread wheat). RNAcentral describes it as "partial small subunit ribosomal RNA". Lineage: Eukaryota; Viridiplantae; Streptophyta; Magnoliopsida; Poales; Poaceae. The record is from RNAcentral.